Oncorhynchus masou masou (cherry salmon) is the source of this 329-nucleotide long non-coding RNA. RefSeq lists it as uncharacterized. The record is from RefSeq and is a predicted model, not a curated record. The transcript has 4 exons. Lineage: Eukaryota; Metazoa; Chordata; Actinopteri; Salmoniformes; Salmonidae.
AGUGACAUAUUUGAUGCCAUGUUCCCUGUCAUGCACAUUGCGGGAGAGACAGUUAUUCAGCAAGGUGAUGAAGGAGACAACUUCUACGUGAUUGACCAAGGAGAAGUGGAUGUAUAUGUGAACGGAGAGUGGGUGACCAGUAUCGGGGAGGGGGGCAGCUUUGGGGAGCUGGCCCUGAUCUACGGGACCCCGAGCCGCCACCGUCAAGGCCAAGACUGACAUGAAGCUGUGGGGCAUCGACCGGGACAGCUACCGACGCAUCCUCAUGGGUAGCACACUGAGGAAGAGGAAGAUGUACGAAGAGUUCCUGAGCAAGGUCUCCAUCCUCG